This is a long non-coding RNA of Cephus cinctus (wheat stem sawfly), 826 nucleotides long. RefSeq lists it as uncharacterized. The record is from RefSeq and is a predicted model, not a curated record. Lineage: Eukaryota; Metazoa; Arthropoda; Insecta; Hymenoptera; Cephidae. The transcript is spliced from 2 exons.
CCCAGCCGACUCGAUGCUUCGAAACGUUCUCACAACAUGGUUUUUUGAUUUUAAUUAUUUCAAGACCUUCGAAAAUCUUUUCUCGUGGUCUCUUUCGCAACAAAUAAUUUCGUUCGAACGACUCGAAGUAUCGACUGGCAUUAGAAAUGGUGAUUAUUCACAAUAUGUAUAAAUGCAUAAUCGGAGAUACAGUAAUACUUUUCAACAUGCACAACUAUCAAUGCGUAACUAAACUAAUGCAAUAAGAGUGGUCAACGAUCACAUCGUUUCGCCGAUAAUGACGAUUAUGAAUUUUUAAUGUCAAUGACGAUGACAUGCGUAAGUAUCGUGAUCCCAGGUCAUUAACGAAUCGUGGACGAAAGUCUCGAGAAAGCACGUUACUAAUGAUCUACAUAUACGACUAUAUUUUUUUUUAUUCCCAAAGCUCGUGGACACCGGAAGGAUAGAAGAUUCGAAGAAGCGAGUGUCAAGCCGAACGAUUGUUCAUAGUAGAAUCGAGAACAAGUCAUUUAUAAAUUUCAAGUUGGAUUAAUUCGAGACUGAAGAUUCUCGAGAAUUUCGUCAUUCUCUUCGACGGACCUCGACCAAGAAAAACUUCCACGACUCCGUUAACACGUCCCGAUGCCAACCUGGCACUUCGCAAGUGCAAGGACAGAGAAAAUCGUGUAAAGAAGCAAAAACAACCAGACCAAAUUUCUUCCUACGGAAUCAUCGUUGACAAUACCCAGUAUGUGUUGCUAGUAGUACACGUGUUUUCGCACAGAGGGAUACUUGUAGUUCCUUUUUUUUAAUGCAAAAAAAAUACAUCAAAACCAGAUAGCACUCA